Molecule: unclassified non-coding RNA, 238 nt
Filed under: Hevea brasiliensis (rubber tree)
Lineage: Eukaryota; Viridiplantae; Streptophyta; Magnoliopsida; Malpighiales; Euphorbiaceae
Source: RNAcentral
AAAUUGGGCUGAGAUUGAUGUCCCCGAUGAGUUCCAGACUAUUGUCACAUCACUGUUCUCUUCCAAGUCAGAGACCAGUGGACAUGCUGAUGAUGAUUCUGCUGACACUGCAACAAGCCAAACUGAAGUGGUUCGAAACAGCAGUGAUCCUUCAAUGGUGGAUGCUGGACUCCCAAAUAUAUCACAUAAUACAGCGCAGACUGAUUCUACUUCAACACAUCCAGAUAGUACAGCACAG